CCUACGGGCGGCUGCAGUGGGGAAUAUUGCACAAUGGGCGCAAGCCUGAUGCAGCCAUGCCGCGUGUGUGAAGAAGGCCUUCGGGUUGUAAAGCACUUUCAGCGGGGAGGAAGGCGGUGAGGUUAAUAACCUCAUCGAUUGACGUUACCCGCAGAAGAAGCACCGGCUAACUCCGUGCCAGCAGCCGCGGUAAUACGGAGGGUGCAAGCGUUAAUCGGAAUUACUGGGCGUAAAGCGCACGCAGGCGGUCUGUCAAGUCGGAUGUGAAAUCCCCGGGCUCAACCUGGGAACUGCAUUCGAAACUGGCAGGCCAGAGUCUUGUAGAGGGGGGUAGAAUUCCAGGUGUAGCGGUGAAAUGCGUAGAGAUCUGGAGGAAUACCGGUGGCGAAGGCGGCCCCCUGGACAAAGACUGACGCUCAGGUGCGAAAGCGUGGGGAGCAAACAGGAUUAGAUACCCGAGUAGUC
RNAcentral lists this ribosomal RNA (465 nucleotides) under uncultured Klebsiella sp. RNAcentral describes it as "bacterial SSU rRNA". It matches the Rfam family "Bacterial small subunit ribosomal RNA", at positions 338 to 795 of the family's 1533-position model. The record is from RNAcentral. Lineage: Bacteria; Pseudomonadati; Pseudomonadota; Gammaproteobacteria; Enterobacterales; Enterobacteriaceae.